GCCCUACGGGACGCAGCAGUGGGGGAUAUUGCACAAUGGGGGAAACCCUGAUGCAGCAACGCCGCGUGUGAGAAGAAGGUUUUCGGAUUGUAAACCACUGUUCUUGGUGAAGAUAAUGACGGUAACCAAGGAGAAAGCUCCGGCUAACUACGUGCCAGCAGCCGCGGUAAUACGUAGGGAGCAAGCGUUGUCCGGAUUUACUGGGUGUAAAGGGGGCGUAGGCGGUCUUGCAAGUCAGACGUGAAAACCACGGGCUCAACCUGGGGACUGCGUUUGAAACUGUGGGGCUUGAGUGAAGGAGAGGG
This 305-nucleotide ribosomal RNA is filed under the name uncultured bacterium. RNAcentral describes it as "bacterial SSU rRNA". It matches the Rfam family "Bacterial small subunit ribosomal RNA", at positions 335 to 658 of the family's 1533-position model. The record is from RNAcentral.